RNAcentral lists this unclassified non-coding RNA (348 nucleotides) under soil metagenome. Its description in RNAcentral is "partial contains 5.8S ribosomal RNA, internal transcribed spacer 2, and large subunit ribosomal RNA". The stretch from base 1 to 120 matches the Rfam family "5.8S ribosomal RNA", at positions 35 to 154 of the family's 154-position model. The record is from RNAcentral.
GAUGAAGAACGCAGCGAAAUGCGAUAAGUAGUGUGAAUUGCAGACUUUAGUGAAUCAUCGAAUCUUUGAACGCACAUUGCGCCCCCUGGUAUUCCGGGGGGCAUGCCUGUCCGAGCGUCAUUGCCGCCCUCAAGCACGGCUUGUGUGUUGGGCCCCCGCCCCCCGGCUUCGGGGGGCGGGCCCGAAAGGCAGCGGCGGCACCGCGUCCGGUCCUCGAGCGUAUGGGGCUUCGUCACCCGCUCUGUAGGCCCGGCCGGCGCCCGCCGGCGACCCCAAUCAAUCUUUCCAGGUUGACCUCGGAUCAGGUAGGGAUACCCGCUGAACUUAAGCAUAUCAAUAAGCGGAGGA